This 419-nucleotide ribosomal RNA is filed under the name bacterium. RNAcentral's name for it is "partial 16S ribosomal RNA". It matches the Rfam family "Bacterial small subunit ribosomal RNA", at positions 355 to 776 of the family's 1533-position model. The record is from RNAcentral.
UGGGGGAUAUUGCACAAUGGGCGAAAGCCUGAUGCAGCGACGCCGCGUGGGGGAUGAAGGCCUUCGGGUUGUAAACUUCUUUUGCUCUGAACAAGUCGCACCAUGGGGUGUGUUGAGUGUAGGGGUUGAUUAGCGCCGGCUAACUACGUGCCAGCAGCCGCGGUAAUACGUAGGGCGCGAGCGUUGUCCGGAAUUAUUGGGCGUAAAGGGCUUGUAGGUGGCUGGUUGCGUCUGUCGUGAAAGCUCAUGGCUUAACUGUGGGUUUGCGGUGGGUACGGGCUGGCUUGAGUGCAGUAGGGGAGGCUGGAAUUCCUGGUGUAGCGGUGGAAUGCGCAGAUAUCAGGAGGAAUACCGGUGGCGAAGGCGGGUCUCUGGGCUGUUACUGACACUGAGGAGCGAAAGCAUGGGGAGCGAACAGG